CAGUAGCCGCGGGAAUACGUAGGGGGCGAGCGUUGUCCGAAGUUACUGGGCGUAAAGCGCGCGUAGGCGGCUUCUUAAGUCUGAGGUGAAAGGUUCAACGCUUAACGUGAACAGUGCCUUGGAUACUGGGGAGCUUGAGUAUGGGAGAGGGCAGUGGAAUGGCUGGUGUAGCGGUGAAAUGCGUAGAUAUCAGUCGGAACACCCAUGGCGAAGGCAGCUGCCUGGCCUAAUACUGACGCUGAGGUGCGAAAGCGUGGGGAGCGAACGGGAUUAGAUACCCCGGUAGUCCCUGUCUCUUAUU
RNAcentral lists this ribosomal RNA (301 nucleotides) under uncultured bacterium. RNAcentral describes it as "partial 16S ribosomal RNA". It matches the Rfam family "Bacterial small subunit ribosomal RNA", at positions 509 to 808 of the family's 1533-position model. The record is from RNAcentral.